Unclassified non-coding RNA from Pongo abelii (Sumatran orangutan), 148 nucleotides. It matches the Rfam family "Metazoan signal recognition particle RNA". Rfam says of the family: The signal recognition particle (SRP) is a universally conserved ribonucleoprotein. It is involved in the co-translational targeting of proteins to membranes. NCBI's taxonomy places the organism in Eukaryota, Metazoa, Chordata, Mammalia, Primates, Hominidae. The record is from Ensembl.
GCUGGGCGUGGUGGCGCACGCCUGUAAUCCCAGCUACUCGGGAGGCUGAGGCAGGAGAAUUGCUUGAACCCGGGAGGCGGAGGUUGCAGUGAGCUGGGAUUGUGCCACUGCACUCCAGCCUGGGCAACAGAGCAAGACUCCAUCUCAA